Mycena rebaudengoi is the source of this 99-nucleotide non-coding RNA. Lineage: Eukaryota; Fungi; Basidiomycota; Agaricomycetes; Agaricales; Mycenaceae. The record is from the annotation of a GenBank genome assembly.
GACGUAGUAGCGAAGCUGGUAUCGCGUCCACUCUGGUUCAACAGGUCAAAUAUAGUCUGCAAUAUGUGGAAGUCCCUCGUUCGAAUCGAGGUUAGGUCA